GAUGAAGAACGUAGCGAAAUGCGAUAAGUAAUGUGAAUUGCAGAAUUCAGUGAAUCAUCGAAUCUUUGAACGCACAUUGCGCCCCCUGGUAUUCCGGGGGCAUGCCUGUCCGAGCGUCAUUUCAACCCUCAAACCCCCGGGUUUGGUGUUGGGGAUCGGCUCUGCCUCACGGCGGUGCCGCCCCCGAAAUACAUUGGCGGUCUCGCUGCAGCCUCCAUUGCGUAGUAGCUAACACCUCGCAACUGGAACGCGGCGCGGCCAUGCCGUAAAACCCCAACUUCUGAAUGUUGACCUCGGAUCAGGUAGGAAUACCCGCUGAACUUAAGCAUAUCAAUAAGCGGAGGA
This 345-nucleotide unclassified non-coding RNA is filed under the name soil metagenome. Its description in RNAcentral is "partial contains 5.8S ribosomal RNA, internal transcribed spacer 2, and large subunit ribosomal RNA". The stretch from base 1 to 119 matches the Rfam family "5.8S ribosomal RNA", at positions 35 to 154 of the family's 154-position model. The record is from RNAcentral.